RNAcentral lists this unclassified non-coding RNA (2463 nucleotides) under Hevea brasiliensis (rubber tree). The record is from RNAcentral. Lineage: Eukaryota; Viridiplantae; Streptophyta; Magnoliopsida; Malpighiales; Euphorbiaceae.
UGAUGAAAAAGAGUCUGCAGUUGGUAAUCAUUGCUUUUGAAAUACACCUUAUGUUGGUUAUUUCAGUUUCUGAAGCGUAUUGUUCUUGAAAAUGGACAUUUUUAUAUGCAUAUAGACCAUGUUUUAUUGCUUUUGGUACCAUCCCAUUCAUUUUGUAGGUCAUUACUCCAUAUGCAUAAUUUUUUUUGAUUUAUUUAUUCACUUUUUUCUGUUUACAUUCUUUUUAUGAUUAUAUUUGUUCAUCUUAGUUUGAAAUUGUGGUAUAGAUAGAUAUGUACUGCUCAACCAAAGAACUGUUUUAUGCUUAUUUUCACUAAUUAAUGUUUCUUUAGAAUGGCAACAACCAACAUUUACCAAUUAACACCCACUCAAAUCAGAUCUUUUAUUUUGGAAUUUGACCCCAUAAACACUAUAGGUAGGGUGUUAAUGUGAUAGCUGCAGGAACACUAUCAGGUUUUGCAACCUCCAAUGUGAGUGGAGAUUGUGAUUUCACAUAGAUGCAACAAUAAAAUGCUUUCCACCCUAUCAAAAGUUGAUAUGCAUUUAUGCACGCAAUUUGGAUAGAUAACAUUCGUAUAAGCUGUUGGUUGGGAAUUGGCAUGUUAUGGGGACAUCAAUAGUAUCUGUUUUAAUGCAGACUUGAAACAUGCAAUCAGGAGUAUAGCCUGAUAUAGAAUUAAAUAGAAAUAAUUCAGGAGAACUGCAAAAAAUUGGGCCACAAUUGGUAUACAUAUCAUGUGUGUUUAUUGAGCUCAUCUAUUUCAUGCAAGCUACAGUUACUUUUUCCUUUUGGGAGCAUUACUCGAGUAUUUUAUGGGACAUUGGAUCUUAUACCUAGCUUCUACGUGGUGAACUAGAGUCUGAUUCCAUAGGCUACAUAUUUAUUACCAUGUCUGUUACAAAAGUUCAAUUUCCCAUGUUUAACUUCUUUAAAUGUCAUAAUCCAUCUUGUUCUUUUGUAUUCCAGAAGCAGAAGUCCUUUCAGCUCCUCCAAAGUUGGUGUAUAGCAGAUUACUUUUGCGUUUCACGAGGAAACUCCUAUUAGCAGUUGUGGAUAAGUGGGACAGCCAUGUGCUUACCAUAGACAAGGUUGCCCCACCUAAAUGGAAGGUUUGAAUGCUUGAUCUUUUAUUGUAUGAAUUCCUUAUUUUCAAGUUUGUUUAGCAUUUUCUUGUUGUUGAGUUAUAUGUAUUAUUUCUUUUUAGCCUAAUGAAAUUUGAAAUAUACACAAUACGCUUAUGUUUUUGCUCUUCUGCUUCUUAAAUGUGUUGUGUUUUGAGAUUAUGGUUUCUUGUAUAAUUAAACAACUUCCACGCUGGAUCAAGUGUCCAAAGAUGAAGAUGAAUAUUGUAUUAUGUUGGUCAGAAAUAGAGUAGGAUUAAAAUCAAAUUUAAUUGUACUACGGUUUUAUGUUUAACUGGAUCCCUAAAAUUGUAAUUAUUGUAUUUGAAUUUGAACAACAAAACCAACAGACCAGCCCUUGUGCAUUCGAAACAUAUCUUGCCAAAUUCUUUGAGGUUGAACUUGGAUAGAGAAUUUAAAAUUUAAGAUUGAGUUUUUGUUUUUAAUUCAAAACUUCAAAUAUUGCAAGUAUUUGAACUUAUAAGGAAGGAGAAAACAAAGGCUUCAACUAUAGACUUUUAUGAAAUUACACCCUUUAAAUAAUUUUUCGUGCACACACAUGAAUCUACCCAGCCAAAGAACACUUAUUCAUUUAACUAUCAUUUGAUUUAACCUAUGCUGUGAAGUCCAAAUCAUUUCAUUCUAUAUUGCUAUGCAUCAAAAUGCAACCUGAAUGAAUGUGGAUUUUUAUUGAAGUAUGUUGAUUACUGUGUAUAAAGCUAAAUGUUGAGUUAUUUUUGUCUUUUGAUAUUUAGUGGUAUGUGACUGUGGUUUAAAUUUUAUAUGUGCAACUGCACUCCACUUGCUUUGUAUUGUUUACCUAAUUGGUCAGAAAGUUCCACAAAGGACAGUAAUACUGUCAAAGGUUAGAGAUACGGCAAACUAAAUUAUAUCUUGCGUGGCCAAUCUUAGAAUGUUGGGUGUCAACUAAGAGCAUUGUGGAUGUAUUUGAGUUUAGAAAAUUCGAAACUUGCAGUAUUUGCAUCCAUGCAGCUUAGGCUUGAAAACAUUACAUUUUUUAAUGUUUCAUGAUUUCUUAUAUUACAGAUUUUAAUGAAAAUUUGUUAAACUUGAUUAUUACCCACAAACAUCUCACAAGUUCACUGUUGUUGCACAUCAGAAUAAGCCAGCUGGCAGAAUUUUAGAAUUUUGCAUCCUCCAUUUGGCAAUGUCUGAGAUUGUUGUUCUUGGAACACGGCACCAGAUUGUCAUUAAUGAGGCAAUUGAUCUUGCUAAACGGUUCUGUGACGGGGCAGCACCGCGCAUAAUCAAUGGGUGUCUUAGGACUUUUGUGAAGGAUUUUUCAGGAAGCAGUGUGGCUCAGGCUUCAGAUGCUAAUCA